This 574-nucleotide ribosomal RNA is filed under the name [Candida] sp. NT36. RNAcentral describes it as "eukaryotic LSU rRNA". It matches the Rfam family "Eukaryotic large subunit ribosomal RNA", at positions 62 to 648 of the family's 3401-position model. Lineage: Eukaryota; Fungi; Ascomycota; Saccharomycetes; Saccharomycetales. The record is from RNAcentral.
AAACCAACAGGGAUUGCCUCAGUAACGGCGAGCGAAGCGGCAAAAGCUCAAAUUUGAAAUCUGGCGCCUUUGGCGUCCGAGUUGUAAUUUGAAGAUGGCAACUUUGGGAUUGGCUCUCGCAUAUGUUCCUUGGAACAGGACGUCAUAGAGGGUGAGAACCCCGUUCAUGGUGAGAUGAUCCAAUCCUAUGUAAAGUGCUUUCUAAGAGUCGAGUUGUUUGGGAAUGCAGCUCUAAGUGGGUGGUAAAUUCCAUCUAAGGCUAAAUAUUGGCGAGAGACCGAUAGCGAACAAGUACAGUGAUGGAAAGAUGAAAAGAACUUUGAAAAGAGAGUGAAAAAGUACGUGAAAUUGUUGAAAGGGAAGGGCUUGAAAUCAGACUUGGUAUUCAGUGAUCAACUGUCUUUCGGGACUGUGCACUCGCUGUUUACUGGGCCAACAUCGGUUUGGAGGGUGAGAUAAAAGCUUGAGAAUGUGGCUAGCCUUCGGGGUAGUGUUAUAGCUCUUGUUAAUAUCACCAUUCUGGACCGAGGACUGCGCUUUAUGCUAGGAUGUUGGCGUAAUGAUUUUAAGCCAC